UACGAAGGGGGCUAGCGUUGCUCGGAAUCACUGGGCGUAAAGGGCGCGUAGGCGGCCAUUUAAGUCGGGGGUGAAAGCCUGUGGCUCAACCACAGAAUUGCCUUCGAUACUGGAUGGCUUGAGACCGGAAGAGGUAAGUGGAACUGCGAGUGUAGAGGUGAAAUUCGUAGAUAUUCGCAAGAACACCAGUGGCGAAGGCGGCUUACUGGUCCGGAUCUGACGCUGAGGCGCGAAAGCGUGGGGAGCAAACAGG
RNAcentral lists this ribosomal RNA (253 nucleotides) under uncultured bacterium. RNAcentral's name for it is "partial 16S ribosomal RNA". It matches the Rfam family "Bacterial small subunit ribosomal RNA", at positions 524 to 776 of the family's 1533-position model. The record is from RNAcentral.